GUGCGGUAAGAGCGCACCGCGCGGCUGGCAACAGGCGUGGCGAUGGUAAACCCCACUCGGAGCAAGACCAAAUAGGAAUCCGUCAGCUGUGGCCCGCAGUGGAUUCGGGUAGGUCGCUACAGGCAAGUGGUGACACUUGUCGCAGAUGAAUGAUCGUCCACGACAGAACCCGGCUUAUCGACCGACUCCAUUU
Molecule: RNase P RNA, 193 nt
Filed under: Halioglobus sp.
Lineage: Bacteria; Pseudomonadati; Pseudomonadota; Gammaproteobacteria; Cellvibrionales; Halieaceae
Description: partial RNase P RNA component class A
Rfam family: Bacterial RNase P class A
About the family: Ribonuclease P (RNase P) is a ubiquitous endoribonuclease, found in archaea, bacteria and eukarya as well as chloroplasts and mitochondria. Its best characterised activity is the generation of mature 5'-ends of tRNAs by cleaving the 5'-leader elements of precursor-tRNAs.
Source: RNAcentral